This 84-nucleotide transfer RNA is filed under the name archaeon CG07_land_8_20_14_0_80_38_8. Its description in RNAcentral is "tRNA-Ser". It matches the Rfam family "tRNA". Rfam says of the family: Transfer RNA (tRNA) molecules are approximately 80 nucleotides in length. Their secondary structure includes four short double-helical elements and three loops (D, anti-codon, and T loops). Further hydrogen bonds mediate the characteristic L-shaped molecular structure. tRNAs have two regions of fundamental functional importance: the anti-codon, which is responsible for specific mRNA codon recognition, and the 3' end, to which the tRNAs corresponding amino acid is attached (by aminoacyl-tRNA synthetases). tRNAs cope with the degeneracy of the genetic code in two manners: having more than one tRNA (with a specific anti-codon) for a particular amino acid; and 'wobble' base-pairing, i.e. permitting non-standard base-pairing at the 3rd anti-codon position. The record is from RNAcentral.
GCCAGGGUGGCGGAGCGGUCUAACGCGUCAGUCCCGAAAACUGAUAUCCUCACGGAUGCACAGGUUCAAAUCCUGUCCCUGGCG